RNAcentral lists this ribosomal RNA (33 nucleotides) under Rhodotorula mucilaginosa. RNAcentral describes it as "partial 28S ribosomal RNA". The record is from RNAcentral. Lineage: Eukaryota; Fungi; Basidiomycota; Microbotryomycetes; Sporidiobolales; Sporidiobolaceae. RNAcentral also lists the same sequence under 1 other name.
UAGAUCUCAAAUCAGGUAGGACUACCCGCUGAA